GGGCAUGCGGGUGCUAUACAUGCAGUCGACGAACUCUGGUAUUGAUUGGUGCUUGCAUCAUGAUUUACAUUUGAGUGAGUGGCGAACUGGUGAGUAACACGUGGGAAACCUGCCCAGAAGCGGGGGAUAACACCUGGAAACAGAUGCUAAUACCGCAUAACAACUUGGACCGCAUGGUCCGAGUUUGAAAGAUGGCUUCGGCUAUCACUUUUGGAUGGUCCCGCGGCGUAUUAGCUAGAUGGUGGGGUAACGGCUCACCAUGGCAAUGAUACGUAGCCGACCUGAGAGGGUAAUCGGCCACAUUGGGACUGAGACACGGCCCAAACUCCUACGGGAGGCAGCAGUAGGGAAUCUUCCACAAUGGACGAAAGUCUGAUGGAGCAACGCCGCGUGAGUGAAGAAGGGUUUCGGCUCGUAAACUUCUGUUGUUAAAGAAGAACAAUAUCUGAGAGUAACUGUUCAGGUAUUGACGGUAUUUAACCAGAAAAGCCACGGCUAACUACGUGCCAGCAGCCGCGGUAAUACGUAGGUGGCAAGCGUUGUCCGGAUUUAUUGGGCGUAAAGCGAGCGCAGGCGGUUUUUUAAGUCUGAUGUGAAAGCCUUUCGGCUCAACCGAAGAAGUGCAUCGGAAACUGGGAAACUUGAGUGCAGAAGAGGACAGUGGAACUCCAUGUGUAGCGGUGAAAUGCGUAGAUAUAUGGAAGAACACCAGUGGCGAAGGCGGCUGUCUGGUCUGUAACUGACGCUGAGGCUCGAAAGUAUGGGUAGCAAACAGGAUUAGAUACCCUGGUAGUCCAUACCGUAAACGAUGAAUGCUAAGUGUUGGAGGGUUUCCGCCCUUCAGUGCUGCAGCUAACGCAUUAAGCAUUCCGCCUGGGGAGUACGGCCGCAAGGCUGAAACUCAAAGGAAUUGACGGGGGCCCGCACAAGCGGUGGAGCAUGUGGUUUAAUUCGAAGCUACGCGAAGAACCUUACCAGGUCUUGACAUACUAUGCAAAUCUAAGAGAUUAGACGUUCCCUUCGGGGACAUGGAUACAGGUGGUGCAUGGUUGUCGUCAGCUCGUGUCGUGAGAUGUUGGGUUAAGUCCCGCAACGAGCGCAACCCUUAUUAUCAGUUGCCAGCAUUAAGUUGGGCACUCUGGUGAGACUGCCGGUGACAAACCGGAGGAAGGUGGGGAUGACGUCAAAUCAUCAUGCCCCUUAUGACCUGGGCUACACACGUGCUACAAUGGAUGGUACAACGAGUUGCGAACUCGCGAGAGUAAGCUAAUCUCUUAAAGCCAUUCUCAGUUCGGAUUGUAGGCUGCAACUCGCCUACAUGAAGUCGGAAUCGCUAGUAAUCGCGGAUCAGCAUGCCGCGGUGAAUACGUUCCCGGGCCUUGUACACACCGCCCGUCACACCAUGAGAGUUUGUAACACCCAAAGUCGGUGGGGUAACCUUUUAGGAACCAGCCGCCUAAGGUGGGACAGAUGAUUAGGGUGAAGUCGUAACAAGAGCAUGCCCC
RNAcentral lists this ribosomal RNA (1505 nucleotides) under Lactiplantibacillus pentosus. Its description in RNAcentral is "bacterial SSU rRNA". It matches the Rfam family "Bacterial small subunit ribosomal RNA". Lineage: Bacteria; Bacillati; Bacillota; Bacilli; Lactobacillales; Lactobacillaceae. The record is from RNAcentral.